UUAUCCCCCGUGGCUGCUUCCUCUCGCAGCUGCCCCGCCCGCGCCGCCCGCCCUCCCAACCCGCCGGAGCUGCGACGGCGAGGAGCUGUGCAAGUCCAACCAACAGCGCCUAACCCCCUCCACAUAGGUUGGAUGCAGCACUACAACGCCAGCACCGGUAAAUCAAUCCUGUAACCGUCGCGUCGCCAUGGCGCAACCCGCCGCCGCCGCCGCCGCCGCCAUUGCGCUGCGCCGCCCGCUCCUCCUCUCCCUCAAGCCGGCUCGCCUCCUGACCUCCCUCGCAGCCCCCUCGCCUGGCAUCCGCCACCCGCGCGCCCUCCGCCCCACAGGCCCUCUGCCAGCUGACACCGCCGAGGACACCGACGAUCCAGACGCCGGGGACGGCUCUGCCGAGCCCUUCAAGAAGAGCCGCAACGCACUCAAGCGGGAGGCCCGCCGCGCCGUGCAGUGGGGCAUGGACCUCGCCAAGUUCCCGCCACCACAGAUCAAGCGCAUCCUAAGGGCCGCCUCACUGGAAACCGAGGUCUUCGACGCUCUCAUGCUCGUCAAGAGAUUUGGGCCGGAUGUGCGGGAAGGAAAGAGGAGGCAGUUCAAUUACAUCGGUAGACUUCUGCGCAAUGCACAACCGGAAUUGAUGGAUACUCUAAUACAGGCUUCCAAGGAUGGAGAUGAUAGCAAGUUACAUGCAUUGCUGAGUGAAGAGAAAUUGUUGGUGGAAGACGAGGAAGUGGAGGAACUACCUGAUGAAGAAGAGGACGAUGGAGAGUAUAUGAAAAUUGCAGAUAGAUGGUUUGAUGGUCUCCUUUGCAAAGACAUCUCAAUUACUAAUGAAGUUUAUGCUAUCCAUAAUGUUGAGUUUGAUCGUCAGGAACUGCGGCAGCUUGUGAGGAGAGUCCAGAUGGUUGAAGAAAGCACAAGUAAAGAUGACGAGGAAGGAUCUAACGGGAAGCUUUCCAGAGCAAAGAAACCGCUUUUGAGGUUCCUUCGCUCCCUUGCAAAGGAAGCAUGCGCUGAAUAGGUGAAGAACUUACUAACACUUGUGAAGGAUGGACAGUGGUGCCAGUUUGUAUCCCAUUUACCCAUUCACGUGCAUAAUGUGUGUGGUAGUAGGUUGUGGUCAGUCAGUUAAACUACCAGCUAUAUAGUAUGGAUGAAGCUCUCGGUGCACGUGGUUCAACGAGGAUAUGCAACGUUAUUGGGAAAUCAUACAUGCAAGUCCUGAACGAUAUAAGUAUUUGGGAACGAAGUGUCGGACCAGCUUUAGUUUCUGAAAUUGAGUAGCUUCAUCUGUAUUGGU
This is an RNA transcript of Panicum hallii, 1297 nucleotides long. It is a transcript of the gene named UPF0307 protein KPN78578_45570, with no coding region annotated. Lineage: Eukaryota; Viridiplantae; Streptophyta; Magnoliopsida; Poales; Poaceae. The record is from RefSeq and is a predicted model, not a curated record. The transcript is spliced from 7 exons.